UGGACAUAUUUGUGUACCUCGUGAUCACAAUUCGUUGCAAGCGGCGUGUGAAAAACUGCAAGUUUCAGUUUGACAGUUCUGGCAGAUAAAUGGUUUCUAAUUUUAUUGUCCAAUUAGGUGCGUAGUUUUGAUUUAAAGUUCAAAACUACGCAUCUGAUUGGACAAUAAAAUUAGAAACUCAUUUAACUGUACUGUCAGAACUGUCAAACUGAAACUUGCAGUUUUUCACUAGCCGCUUGCAACGAAUUGUGAUCACGAGGUACACAAAUAUGUCCUUCGUAAAAAUUAUCGGUCGUUUCGCAGUAUAUGUAGAUUUUAUUUAAAUCGCUAAACUUGUAAUGCAGAUUAUGACCAUCUGUUCUUUAAAAUAUAAACCAUGAGGAUAAGGAAUAUCUUAAAUAAAUUAUAAAUAAAG
Molecule: non-coding RNA, 415 nt
Organism: Paramuricea clavata
Lineage: Eukaryota; Metazoa; Cnidaria; Anthozoa; Malacalcyonacea; Plexauridae
Source: the annotation of a GenBank genome assembly